GUACAUUUCUAUAUUUUUACCUCAAAUGUAUCAAUUUGACAUAAUACAUCAUCUCUCUCCGUCAGCCAGUGCUCUUCAAGAGUCACUGUAACACUCGCUGCAGCCACCUACAGUCCAACUCAUCAGGUUUAAGUGCAAUACUAUUUGAAAUCAGUCAAUUCUGUUCUUACAUAUAUACUGUAGAUAGGCCUACUAUAGUAGAUGAUGAUUGGAAAUAAUGUCCAGUUCUUCAAUUCAUGAAUUUCAUUUUAAUCUUCUAUAUUGUCUGAAUUUUGAAUUGACUGACUCUGCCCCAAGAUAGAGACAUUUUCAUGGCUUACCAUUUCUGGUUGUAACUGUAAUUUUGUUGCAGAAAUCCAAAAUCCCACAGAGGUUAAGUGGACAGUGGAGGAUUUUAACAAUGGUACCCGACUCCUCAAUCUGACUUGGGGUACACCACCUUAUCCAGUCUCUGUGGGACAGGUGAAUUACAACCUCUCUCUCCAUAUUUGGCCUUGCCAACUAAAGCGAAAGAACCACACCAAUAUCACUACCACUGAGUUUAGUGUUUAUGUGACUUACUCUGCUGUCAGUGGUUACAUUUUUGCCUUUAAUAAGGUGGGAAAGUCAUCGCAGACACAUAUCCUUGUCCCAGCAAAACAUCUUACAUAUCCCAGGAAGUCUUGGCCUGAUGACAAACUCAUCCCACACAAUUAUACCCCUCGCCUUAAAAAUUCCUGUCUGGAAUGGUACAAGCUAACAGACGGAGAAACACAACCAGCCAAAGUGAAUAUAUCAAAAAUUAUGAAUGGAACAGUGGAGGAAACACUCAAAUCUAUCAGACAAAGUAAGGGGGAACUUCACGAAAAGUAUAUAUUUCUUAAGAAUAAGAAAUGUCUGUGUUCGUCUUACUGUGAUAGACCAAGAUAUACAGUAUAUCUCUUGAACUGAAGAUAAUGUCUGGUUUUGAUUUUUAG
Long non-coding RNA from Oncorhynchus keta (chum salmon), 956 nucleotides. RefSeq lists it as uncharacterized. The record is from RefSeq and is a predicted model, not a curated record. The transcript is spliced from 3 exons. Lineage: Eukaryota; Metazoa; Chordata; Actinopteri; Salmoniformes; Salmonidae.